RNAcentral lists this long non-coding RNA (260 nucleotides) under Patiria miniata (bat star). RNAcentral's name for it is "uncharacterized LOC119739450, transcript variant X1". The record is from RNAcentral. Lineage: Eukaryota; Metazoa; Echinodermata; Asteroidea; Valvatida; Asterinidae.
CAAUGAACUGAGCAGUGACUGAAAGUAUACAAAAUAAAAUGCGCUUAAAGUCCGAUUCCGGAAUGGGAAAGAUUUCCAUAUACAUGGUGAGCAGAGUCCACAUUGGAUGGAGCUUCUGACAGACUCUCAGGAGAAAUGGGUGGAUGUUCAGAAGAUCAAGGCAUUCCCAGCCAUGGUAGCAAACCCGACGCUAAGAACCGGGGCACAGGCACUCAUGCAGAUUGGUGGGUUGGGUAAGAUCAAGACCAACACAAUCAUCA